RNAcentral lists this ribosomal RNA (460 nucleotides) under uncultured bacterium. RNAcentral describes it as "partial 16S ribosomal RNA". It matches the Rfam family "Bacterial small subunit ribosomal RNA", at positions 338 to 795 of the family's 1533-position model. The record is from RNAcentral.
CCUACGGGUGGCAGCAGUGAGGAAUAUUGGUCAAUGGACGAGAGUCUGAACCAGCCAAGUAGCGUGAAGGAUGACUGCCCUAUGGGUUGUAAACUUCUUUUAUAUGGGAAUAAAAUGUUCCACGUGUGGGAUUUUGUAUGUACCAUAUGAAUAAGGAUCGGCUAACUCCGUGCCAGCAGCCGCGGUAAUACGGAGGAUCCGAGCGUUAUCCGGAUUUAUUGGGUUUAAAGGGAGCGUAGGUGGAUUGUUAAGUCAGUUGUGAAAGUUUGCGGCUCAACCGUAAAAUUGCAGUUGAAACGGGCAGUCGUGAGUACAGUAGAGGUGGGCGGAAUCCGGGGUGGUGGGGUGAAAUGUUGAGAUAUCACGAAGAACUCCGAGUGCGAAGGAAGCUCAUUGGACUGCAACGGACACUGAGGCUCAAAAGUGUGGGUAUCAAACAGGAUUAGAUACCCCAGUAGUC